RNAcentral lists this ribosomal RNA (253 nucleotides) under uncultured bacterium. RNAcentral's name for it is "partial 16S ribosomal RNA". It matches the Rfam family "Bacterial small subunit ribosomal RNA", at positions 524 to 776 of the family's 1533-position model. The record is from RNAcentral.
GACGUAGGGCGCGAGCGUUGUCCGGAUUUAUUGGGCGUAAAGAGCUCGUAGGCGGCUUGUCGCGUCGACUGUGAAAUCCCGCGGCUCAACUGCGGGUCUGCAGUCGAUACGGGCAGGCUAGAGUUCGGUAGGGGAGAAUGGAACUCCUGGUGUAGCGGUGGAAUGCGCAGAUAUCAGGAAGAACACCGAUGGCGAAGGCAGUUCUCUGGGCCGUAACUGACGCUGAGGAGCGAAAGCGUGGGGAGCGAACAGG